CUCUGCAAUAGUUGUUCACUCUGCAAUAGUUGUUCACUCUGCAAUAGUUGUUCACUCUGCAAUAGUUGUUCACUCUGCAAUAGUUCAUUGUUGGCCAUCUAGAAUCCCAACAUGAACAGAAAACUGCAAUCAGUCACAAUCAGUCACUCCCACAGUAUUGGACCUCCUCACUGUCACUCACUACACCUGAGCCAAUCACCUGCAGUCUCUCUCCCACCUGGAAUCCACCCAUUCCUUUGUUUGAAGCACAUCCAGAUUCACUCAGUCACUUGAACAGCAGGUUCACCCCACAUUCACUCAUCUCUGGAAACACAUUCACUUUCACUGCCUGGAAUCUUGGAAAUCACAGCAUCAAAGAAAGCCUUCAGCUCCACAACCAGCUCUUGGACUUCUGGAUGCCACCAACAUAAACCAAACAUUUUGCUGAACAGGUGAGGCUCCUAUGGAUGAUUGAACUGAUGGUGAGUCCCUGGAAAGAAGUGGAAGAGUCUGAAAAGAUUCACCCCUUCACCCCCCACUCAUUGGCAGGCCUCAAGCCUCACAGCUUCAUCCCUUCCCCAGUGGUGUGGUUUUUGGCUGGGCGGAGCUUCAACUCUUGUCAUCACAUUACCUGUGUUCACCUGGAGGGAGUCCUGAGUUUAUUUAAGCCUCAUGUUGACCUGCCGGACGUCUUACUUCCACCUCAGACUUGCAUCUUCUGCUCUUUUGUGUUGAUUUCCUUUACUUUGCACUGAAAUAAUGCAACAAAAAUCAUGUGCUACCUUUGAUUCUGACUCACACAGCUCAGUUCGUGCUUUAUUGAAAUGAAUUUCAGCAGUUUGCAGCACAUCUCUUGGUAUUUUUUCCUUCUUUCAUGCAGCCUGGACUGGAUUUAGAUUCAAUAAAAUGUCACGUCUUGCAAAGAA
Molecule: long non-coding RNA, 905 nt
Organism: Amphiprion ocellaris (clown anemonefish)
Lineage: Eukaryota; Metazoa; Chordata; Actinopteri; Pomacentridae
Exons: 3
Source: RefSeq, a predicted model, not a curated record